AAAGCUAAGCUUGAGGGGGAGUGUUGAGAUGAGUUGAGGCAUUUGAGGUAAAGGCACAAAGGAGUUGAGAACAUAAAGAGAGCAAAGAGGUGAAGAGGAGGAAUGGGUUGAUCAUCCGUACAAGGCCGUACAAGUGAUCAUCCGUACAAGGUAAAAGGGGUCAAAGUAACUAUCCAAGUUACUCCCAUGUACUGAGCUUAAGUUACACUCGGCCAAGACCUUAUCCGAACGUUGAGAGGAUAAGGGAGACGCGGCUUGACAGCUAGGACAGGCUGGCAAGAGCUGGAAAGGAAGAGCAUCUAGUCUUGGAUCAAGAAGAUGCUCCAAACGUGUGAAGACACUCAUUGGCCGGUUCAAAUUAAAGCUUAGGCUCCUCUUUGACUCUACAUGCUUACUUAGCUUUAUGAUUUCGAAAACCCUAAGUGUAUGGACCUAUAUAUAUGUAAUCUCAUCCCUUAAUAAAGAUUAGACAGUUCUAAACAAUCCUUCUCUUUACUCAUUUCACUAUGAUUCUCCAUUAGUCUCUAAGUUGUCUCUUAAUCUCUUAUUCUCCUUCUUUAAUCCUUUCUAAACUCAGAUAAUCUUUUACAUUCCUAAAUGUCAUAUACAUAAGCAUAUCUCAUACUGUCUAAGUUCAAUCCUAUUGUUAUCUGAUGCUAUUGUCUAUGUUUAAUCCAUCAAUGAAAGUCUUGCAUCAAUUAGAAAUUGUCUAAGUUGUUUGCAUCAUUGGUUUUGAUUGAAACUGUUGUGCAUAGCCGUAAUAUUGCUCAUGGAUUGAACCUGUUGCAUUCACAUAGCUAAAGCUUUAAGAUUGUGCAUUCAUAUAGUAAUGCAUUUAAAAAUGAGCCUAAAUUGCAAAUGUACUGAUAAGCUUGCAUUGCAUUUAGAGAACUUAAAAAUAGAACUUGCAUUGUCAUUAUUAGAGAUUGAAAUCUACUUGUCUUGACUCAAUCCAGUUCUGAUUGUUGCUAUGCCAUAGUUAAAUCCAUCAGUGAUGUCUUAUAAGCACUUAGAAGUAUGUCUAAGCUAUUUGAAUCAUUGGCUUUGAUAAAACUAGUGAGCAUAAGCAUGAAUUGAGUCACUCUUGUUGCCUUGAUUGCAUAAGUAUCAUCUAGACUUGUGUUCCAUUUAGAUUGAAUCUGUUUCAUUCAUAUAGUUUGUGUGUAACCUAAUGCUGUCAUCUAUUGUUGCAUUUAAAAAAAAAAAAAAAAAACAAAACUGAAUUGAUUGUCUUUGCAUGAUUGUCUAGCUUGUUUCAAGUAUUAUAUAUUAUUGUUAUAUAUUAUUGUGGCAUUGGUGAUCAAACAGGAUAGAUAAUCUUGGUUUGAUCCCAAUGGGAUGAUCUGAUCUUGCAUUGAGUUGUGGUGGUGUUAGGUACACAAGGAAUGAGAUACAUGUAACUCACCAACAACCAAGAAUAUAAAGACAAAGGUCUUGUGCCAUUGCAUAUCAUCACUAGGACAUGUUAGUCCAUAAUCUACAGGAAGUGUAGUGUGAUUGAGUAUGCAAUGAGAGAUGGCCAUUGCAUAAUACCAUUGGACAUAUCUAGUCCUUAGUCUACAGGAAGUGUAGCAUGGGUCAUUAUGCAAUGAGAGGUGUGUCUUGUGAGACUCUCUAUGGUGAUUCAAACACCCUAGUUCCUGGUUAAGGAAGAGAGUAAACUCACAAGAAGAAAGCUAUCAUGAAAGAUGAUAGUUAUUAGACCAUGGAGAUGCAUAGGAUCAUCACAAGCUUAGCUCCUUCUAGUCUCGGUUCUAAGCUUGAGGGGGAGUCUUAAUGCAUAUGAUCCAUGGUCAGUAACAAGUCUUUUGCAAAAGCUUCUACAAGGAUCAUCAACCGGACCAAGUCAGUGGCGUGUCUAGGCAAGAGGCUGUUCAGAGCAGCCUUGGCGAGUGAGGAGGAAGGCUCUCCAUCAAUGCGGCUUCAAUGAGAGGUGAUUUAGGAGAAGCUGAUGAAUCC
Molecule: long non-coding RNA, 1959 nt
Filed under: Brassica rapa (field mustard)
Lineage: Eukaryota; Viridiplantae; Streptophyta; Magnoliopsida; Brassicales; Brassicaceae
Description: long non-coding RNA (BRAP_LNC008763)
Source: RNAcentral